UACGAAGGGGGCUAGCGUUGUUCGGAAUUACUGGGCGUAAAGGGCGCGUAGGCGGCCUCGUCCGUCCGGCGUGAAAUGCCUGGGCUUAACCUAGGAAUUGCGCUCGAUACAGCGAGGCUAGAGUGUGGGAGAGGUUGGUGGAAUUCCCAGUGUAGAGGUGAAAUUCGUAGAUAUUGGGAAGAACACCGGCGGCGAAGGCGGCGACCUGGUCCUUGACUGACGCUGAGGCGCGAAAGCGUGGGGAGCAAACAGG
Molecule: ribosomal RNA, 253 nt
Filed under: uncultured bacterium
Lineage: Bacteria
Description: partial 16S ribosomal RNA
Rfam family: Bacterial small subunit ribosomal RNA
Source: RNAcentral